GUCAUAGUGAUCCGGUGGUUCUGAAUGGAAGGGCCAUCGCUCAACGGAUAAAAGGUACUCCGGGGAUAACAGGCUGAUACCGCCCAAGAGUUCAUAUCGACGGCGGUGUUUGGCACCUCGAUGUCGGCUCAUCACAUCCUGGGGCUGAAGUAGGUCCCAAGGGUAUGGCUGUUCGCCAUUUAAAGUGGUACGCGAGCUGGGUUUAGAACGUCGUGAGACAGUUCGGUCCCUAUCUGCCGUGGGCGCUGGAGAACUGAGGGGGGCUGCUCCUAGUACGAGAGGACCGGAGUGGACGCAUCACUGGUGUUCGGGUUGUCAUGCCAAUGGCACUGCCCGGUAGCUAAAUGCGGAAGAGAUAAGUGCUGAAAGCAUCUAAGCACGAAACUUGCC
This 390-nucleotide ribosomal RNA is filed under the name Escherichia coli. Its description in RNAcentral is "partial 23S ribosomal RNA". It matches the Rfam family "Bacterial large subunit ribosomal RNA", at positions 2409 to 2798 of the family's 2925-position model. The record is from RNAcentral. Lineage: Bacteria; Pseudomonadati; Pseudomonadota; Gammaproteobacteria; Enterobacterales; Enterobacteriaceae.